UAGGGAAUCUUCCGCAAUGGACGAAAGUCUGACGAAGCAACGCCGCGUGAGUGAAGAAGGAUUUCGGUUCGUAAAACUCUGUUGUUAGGGAAGAAAAAAUGUAUAGUAACUAUAUACAAAAGAGACGGUACCUAACCAGAAAGCCACGGCUAACUACGUGCCAGCAGCCGCGGUAAUACGUAGGUGGCAAGCGUUGUCCGGAAUUAUUGGGCGUAAAGCGCGCGCAGGUGGUUUAGAAAGUCUGAUGUGAAAGCCCACGGCUCAACCGUGGAGGGUCAUUGGAAACUAAUAAACUUGAGUGCAGGAGAGAAAAGUGGAAUUCCUAGUGUAGCGGUGAAAUGCGUAGAGAUUAGGAGGAACACCGGUGGCGAAAGCGGCUUUUUGGCCUGCAACUGACACUGAGGCGCGAAAGCGUGGGGAGCAAACAGG
RNAcentral lists this ribosomal RNA (429 nucleotides) under Verrucomicrobiota bacterium. Its description in RNAcentral is "Verrucomicrobia bacterium partial 16S ribosomal RNA". It matches the Rfam family "Bacterial small subunit ribosomal RNA", at positions 355 to 776 of the family's 1533-position model. The record is from RNAcentral. Lineage: Bacteria; Pseudomonadati; Verrucomicrobiota.